CAUAGGUUAAUGAGGCGAACCGGGGGAACUGAAACAUCUAAGUACCCCGAGGAAAAGAAAUCAACCGAGAUUCCCCCAGUAGCGGCGAGCGAACGGGGAGCAGCCCAGAGCCUGAAUCAGUGUGUGUGUUAGUGGAAGCGUCUGGAAAGGCGCGCGAUACAGGGUGACAGCCCCGUACACAAAAAUGCACAUACUGUGAGCUCGAUGAGUAGGGCGGGACACGUGGUAUCCUGUCUGAAUAUGGGGGGACCAUCCUCCAAGGCUAAAUACUCCUGACUGACCGAUAGUGAACCAGUACCGUGAGGGAAAGGCGAAAAGAACCCCGGCGAGGGGAGUGAAAAAGAACCUGAAACCGUGUACGUACAAGCAGUGGGAGCACGCUUAGGCGUGUGACUGCGUACCUUUUGUAUAAUGGGUCAGCGACUUAUAUUCUGUAGCAAGGUUAACCGAAUAGGGGAGCCGAAGGGAAACCGAGUCUUAACUGGGCGUUAAGUUGCAGGGUAUAGACCCGAAACCCGGUGAUCUAGCCAUGGGCAGGUUGAAGGUUGGGUAACACUAACUGGAGGACCGAACCGACUAAUGUUGAAAAAUUAGCGGAUGACUUGUGGCUGGGGGUGAAAGGCCAAUCAAACCGGGAGAUAGCUGGUUCUCCCCGAAAGCUAUUUAGGUAGCGCCUCGUGAAUUCAUCUCCGGGGGUAGAGCACUGUUUCGGCAAGGGGGUCAUCCCGACUUACCAACCCGAUGCAAACUGCGAAUACCGGAGAAUGUUAUCACGGGAGACACACGGCGGGUGCUAACGUCCGUCGUGAAGAGGGAAACAACCCAGACCGCCAGCUAAGGUCCCAAAGUCAUGGUUAAGUGGGAAACGAUGUGGGAAGGCCCAGACAGCCAGGAUGUUGGCUUAGAAGCAGCCAUCAUUUAAAGAAAGCGUAAUAGCUCACUGGUCGAGUCGGCCUGCGCGGAAGAUGUAACGGGGCUAAACCAUGCACCGAAGCUGCGGCAGCGACGCUGAUGCGUUGUUGGGUAGGGGAGCGUUCUGUAAGCCUGUGAAGGUGUGCUGUGAGGC
This 1066-nucleotide ribosomal RNA is filed under the name Escherichia coli. Its description in RNAcentral is "partial 23S ribosomal RNA". It matches the Rfam family "Bacterial large subunit ribosomal RNA", at positions 165 to 1269 of the family's 2925-position model. Lineage: Bacteria; Pseudomonadati; Pseudomonadota; Gammaproteobacteria; Enterobacterales; Enterobacteriaceae. The record is from RNAcentral.